GCUCUCUCUCUCUCGCUCUCUCUCUCUCUCUCUCUGCCCCUCCCCUUCUGUUCUCUAUCUCAUUCUCUCGCGCUCAGUCCAUCAUUCUUUCGGCUCUCGCGCUCGGCGCUUGUUUGCUGACGAACAAAAACGCGAAAGGAUGUAAAUGAAUGAAAGGAAAGAGGCUCGCGCACGCAGAGCGGGAACAAAAGCAAUCGAGCCGCAAUGGAGGAGCGUUUAGCUGUGCGUGUGAUGCUGCAGAGCCUCAGAGCUGCUUCUCCUCUAACUUUCAUCCUUCACUUUCAUUUGAAGCUGAAGACACGAGGACGCGCACGUUUUGAAAGUGUCUCAUUGAUGAACUCUGCUUCAGUCCACACAGUAAAGACAAACUGGGGCUGAUCUGACCUGCUGAUGAGAUCCUCUGUGAAGCGUCACUGAUGUCACUUCCUGUAAGGCGGAGUCAGUCGGAGGAUGAAUUCUGCAUCAUAACUUCACCUGCAGACUGAAGGAAACAAACAGACACCAUCAGAAACAUGAUUGUUUGGGGGGGGGGCAUCAAUCCUAUCUCUGGUUUUUAUGAUCUCAUUGUUUUUUUUCCUGACUUUGAGUGUAGAAAACUAAACCACUGUGGAUAUUUGCUGCAGAAGCACUUUAAACCAGGUAAGUGAAUCUAGAAAAUACCUGAUUCUGUAAUUAAUACUGUAAAGCUGUAACUCAUCAUUGUGUGCUCGGGUAAAGCUGAAUGUUUGUUGAUCUUCAAUAAAGCGUUGAAGCACUU
Molecule: long non-coding RNA, 757 nt
Organism: Cyprinus carpio (common carp)
Lineage: Eukaryota; Metazoa; Chordata; Actinopteri; Cypriniformes; Cyprinidae
Exons: 3
Source: RefSeq, a predicted model, not a curated record